Sarcophilus harrisii (Tasmanian devil) is the source of this 467-nucleotide long non-coding RNA. RefSeq lists it as uncharacterized. The transcript is spliced from 2 exons. The record is from RefSeq and is a predicted model, not a curated record. NCBI's taxonomy places the organism in Eukaryota, Metazoa, Chordata, Mammalia, Dasyuromorphia, Dasyuridae.
CAGCUCCCCCAAGACUGCUUUAUUUCUCUGGCCCCUUCAGCAGGGUCUCAGAGCCCCUUCAGCCGUUGUUCACCCAGAGGACUCUCGGUCCCUGCUCGGGGUCUCUCCGCCGCACCCCAGCCCACCCUCUGUGCCUGCUGUCUAAUCUUCCUCAACUUAUCGAAAGGGAGAAAGGAGCCCCUCAUCUUUCUCCGCCACACAACUCCAGACAGUUACAAAGUUCGACCGAGUCCCAAAGAGCUCCGUGCGGCCCUGCUAAGUGCAAACAUGAUUUCUCAGGGAUGGUUGCGAGAGUUUGACCUCCAGAGAACGCCCAAGGAGAAACAAGGCUGUUUACUAGAGGCCUGCUUCAGAAAUUAGUAUGUUCAUUCAAGGCCUGGGUGAUCUCUAUUGUACCAUUCCCUUAAAAAAAAGGAGCAGUGUGUAAUUUAAAAUGUCAGAAAAUGGUAAUAAAAGGGUGGAGAGUG